UACGAAGGGGGCUAGCGUUGUUCGGAAUUACUGGGCGUAAAGCGCACGUAGGCGGGUCGUUAAGUCAGGGGUGAAAUCCCGGAGCUCAACUCCGGAACUGCCUUUGAUACUGGCGAUCUAGAGAUCGAGAGAGGUGAGUGGAAUUCCGAGUGUAGAGGUGAAAUUCGUAGAUAUUCGCAAGAACACCAGUGGCGAAGGCGGCUCACUGGCCCGGUACUGACGCUGAGGUGCGAAAGCGUGGGGAGCAAACAGG
RNAcentral lists this ribosomal RNA (253 nucleotides) under uncultured bacterium. RNAcentral describes it as "partial 16S ribosomal RNA". It matches the Rfam family "Bacterial small subunit ribosomal RNA", at positions 524 to 776 of the family's 1533-position model. The record is from RNAcentral.